This 65-nucleotide transfer RNA is filed under the name Somanniathelphusa boyangensis. Its description in RNAcentral is "tRNA-Lys". RNAcentral also lists the same sequence under 1 other name. The record is from RNAcentral. Lineage: Eukaryota; Metazoa; Arthropoda; Malacostraca; Decapoda; Parathelphusidae.
CAUUAGAUGGCUGAAAAUAUAAGUGUAGGUCUUUUAAACCUAUUAUAGUAAUUUACUUCUAGUGA